Molecule: small RNA, 119 nt
Filed under: Marmota monax (woodchuck)
Lineage: Eukaryota; Metazoa; Chordata; Mammalia; Rodentia; Sciuridae
Source: RNAcentral
GCUGGGUGCAGAGAUGUGAACCUAAAGUUCCACCUGCUCAGGGGGCUGAGGCAGGCAGGAGGGUUGCUUGAGCCCAGGAGUUCAGGGCCAGCAUGGGCAACAGAGCAAGACCCUAUCUU